Doryrhamphus excisus (bluestripe pipefish) is the source of this 2185-nucleotide non-coding RNA. NCBI's taxonomy places the organism in Eukaryota, Metazoa, Chordata, Actinopteri, Syngnathiformes, Syngnathidae. The record is from RefSeq and is a predicted model, not a curated record.
AAUACUAACGCAGCUAGCUUAGAGGAGAAGAUACUAGCUCUUAGUGAAGUAUUGAAGCCAUCUAUGAAAUUAAGGCACAUUUUCCGGGAAAUGUCAACAUGACGAACAGGAGAUCAGGUGUCCACACACCAGUAUUAAGAUUCAAUUCCUAUAAUAUAACAUUUCCCCCCAAAAGUAAUUUUAAAAAUUUAAUCCAUCCAUCCGGUUUUGUACCGCUUAUCCUCACGAGGGUCGCGGGGGUGCUGGAGCCUAUCCCAGCUGAUUGUGGGCGCGAGGCAGGGUACACCCUGGACUGGUCACAAAAGUCAAUAUGUUAUUUUAUUUGGUUUGUUUAUGAUACUACUAUGAGUUUUUAAAACAUAUUUUUUAAAGUAAUAAAAAUAAUUCCAACUAAAUGCUAAUGUAGACGUUGUGUUCCUGAAGCCUGCACAGCCUCAGCACGGAAAAAAAAGCAAGAUCGGAGACAAAGUGUUGAUUAUUUCCCCCCUGGCUCGGGUUUGUAUUUUAUUCAUCAGGACUCGAUGCAUCCACGUUUAGGAUCAUUCGGUUUUGGCACCUUUUUAAAGAUUUCUUUUUCCAUUUGAACAAGACGUCAAAAAGAAAAGAAGAAGAAAUGAACGGCUAAGGCUGUGUGAGUUGUUUUCCAAAAUAAAAGACAUACAUACUGUAUAUAUUCAUAUAUAUUUAGAAAUUCCUCAACCAAACUUCUAGUUAUGGGGGGGGGAGCGGUGUUGUGGUUUGUUUGGUUUGGCCGACAAAGCCAAAAAUCAUCAAAAGAAAAUAACCAUGGAAAAGAAGUACACAUGACAACUGAAGUCGUUCAAUUAGCAUGCAGUUCUUGUUGACGUAGCGCGUCACGUAGCCUCUCCGGUACUUCUCGCUCAUGUUUGGCCUCCUCCUCUUUUGCUCUUUUCCUGCUCCGUGCUUUCUUGUUUUUUGCCUCAAAUCCCAUCUCAAGUUUUCGGAGCUGCGUGGAAAAGACAGCCAAGCGGGACGGAGAGAAAAAGAGGAGAAGGUUCUAUGGAGAAAAGCAAAAAGAAGAAUAGAUAUACGGAAUUCUAAGCGUCUCCUGGAGCAGAUACUAAAAGAGUCUUUUGUCAACAACAGCACUUGAACUCUUUUUUUGCUUCCGUCUUGAUUAUUGAUGGUUUCUUUAGAAAAGUAAUACAUUUAUAUAUAUUUAUAUUCAUAUUUAUAUUAAUACUAGAGUGUACAGCUUGGGCUCAGGCUGUAAUAAUUCACAGUUUCAAUGCAAAAGUCCCAAAAAUAAAGCAGGUGUUUAUCUUGAACGGCAAAAGGCUAUGACGUCAUGAAGGCCCCCCCCCACCCUCCCGUGGACGUGGAAGAGUCAUGCAGAAACAGAAGACGGUUCUAGAAAGAUGGAGGCAAAGGGCGGUCGGGCCUCAUACGGGCGUGGUGCGGCGGUUGGCCGCGUUGCUGGAGUCCUUCAGCUCCUUCUGGAUGCAGUUGUGGACCUGCAGGAAGUUGUGGUCCCGCUCCGAGUUGUAGGUGGGCGUGCCCGAGGACUUGAGGGUGUCCCUGGGCAGCGUGUACAUGGAGAUCUCGGUGGACGGCAGCGCGCCGAAGCCCUUCAGGCCCACCGGCGAGGCGUCGCGGGAGUGCGAGGGGUCCGUGGAGCGAGACGAGGACCGCGAGCGGCGCCGGUAGCGGUAGCGGUAGCUGGGGAUCCUGCUGAUGGCCGAGCCCUGGAGGUAGUCGGCCGCCCGCGCCCCCAUCCGCAGCUGCCGGUGGCGGUCGAUGAACAUGUGCACGGCCAGCACGCCCACCAUCUCCGCCAUGAUGAAGGACAGAGCGCCGAAGUAGAAGGACCAGCCGUACGAGUAGCUGUUCUUCUUGGAGUCGCUCUUGGAGGGGUCCCCCGCGUUGGCUGAUAUGUACACGAUGAUUCCGAUGAUGUUGCUCAAGCCUGGAGGACGACAGGAGGUCAAGAGGUCAGGAGAAUAUGCAGCAGGUUGCACUUUGGACGCCCCCGGCCCCCGGCCCCCGGCGCCCCCUGCCAGCCAGGGCGAGUUGGCUCUGCCGCCCCGACUAUGAAGAUCCCUGCACUGAGGAUGAUGUUGUGUCGAGACUUGUAGAACUCACUGGCGGCGAUACACAAGCCUCCCAUGAAGAGCAGGAUGACGCUGAGGAUGGGGAAGAUGCUGGACGCUCGCACCGCUCCUGC